Erinaceus europaeus (western European hedgehog) is the source of this 579-nucleotide non-coding RNA. NCBI's taxonomy places the organism in Eukaryota, Metazoa, Chordata, Mammalia, Eulipotyphla, Erinaceidae. The record is from the annotation of a RefSeq genome assembly.
ACAGGAGAAAUGGGCAAACUGCUGGGGGCAUCACUGUUGAUUCUGUGGCUUCAGCCAGACUGGACGGAGAGCCAGCAGAAUGGUGACCAGUGGCAGGUCAAGCAGAACCCUCUGCUCCUGACUGUGCUGGAGGGAGGAGCUGCUAUUUUGCAUUGUGACUACAACAAUGAUCUGUUUGACUACUUCCUAUGGUACAGAAAAUAUCCUGCUGACGGCCCUGCACUCCUGAUAGCCAUACUGUCAGUGGGGAAGCCUGAGCUUUCAAAUGGAAGAUUCAUGGUCGCACUCAACAAAAGUGCCAAACAUCUUUCUCUGCACAUCAAGGACGUCCAGCCUGGAGACUCAGCCACUUACUUCUGCAUAGCGAGGGCACAGUGUUCCCCAGGCACCUGCAGCCUGUACCCAAACCUGCAGCUGGGGCUGGGCCAGCCCUCACUGAGCCUUCUCAGGGAGGCACACCAGUGGCGCUGGGGAAACUGGGCAGCCACACACAAAACGAAGGAGCCAGUUGCUCAUCUCACACCAUGCCUGAAAGUUAACUCAGAGAGGAUCAAAGACAGACACGGUAUAAACCUGUAA